AUCAGAAAUAUCUUUUUUAUUGGUAAUUUUAUUGACCUUAUUAUUUUAUUAGUUAUAGCUUAUUUUACUGUGAAGGAUUUAUUUUUAUUUUAUUAAAAGCAUACUUUUUUUGUAUUACCUUUUGUAUCAGGGUUUAUCAAUUUUAUAUUAAUUAUUUAAUUUUCCCGAAAUUAAAAGAGAUAUAUUAUAGUGAUUUUUUAUGUUUCAUAAUAAUUUUUAAUUUUAAUAUAGGGGUUAUAUGCUAUUCAAUUUUAAAUAUCUGGUUUUCUAAUACAUUAAUUUAAUUAAGAUUAACAUUUAUAGGUUGAUAUAUAAAUUUAUUUUAUUCAAUUUUGUUAAUUAAGUUUAUAGGGGAUAAGCUCUAUUGAAUAUUUUAUAAUAAUAAUUUUUAAUUUAAGGAUUAUUAGGCUUGAUAACAGCCAUUAUUUAUUUCGUUUCAGUUAAUUCUUAUUUAUUUUUUAUUUAUUUUUUAUUUAAGAUUUUAUUAGAAUUUUGUGUUUAUUUAUUUAUUACAAGUAAUAAUGAUAGAAUUAGUAGUUUAGUAAUUCUGAAUUUAGGAAUUCGGCAAUUUUAAUUUUCGCCUGUUUAACAAAAACAUGUCCUAUAGUUUUAUUUAUUUUAGGUCGGGCCUGCCCAGUGAUUAUUUUUAAACGGCCGCAGUAUUUUGACUGUGCGAAGGUAGCAUAAUCAUUUGUCUUUUAAUUGAAGGCUAGUAUGAAAGGUUUGACGAGAAAUUAACUUUCUUAAUUCAGAUUUUAUGAAUUUGAUUUUUUAGUUAAAAAGCUUAAAUUAUUUUGCUAGACGAGAAGACCCUGUAGAAUUUUAUUUAUUUAUUUUUUAUUUAUUUUUUGGGUAAUAUUUAUUUUUUAUUUAUUGAUAAAUUUUGUUGGGGCGAUAUUGAAAUUUAUUCAACUUUCAUUUAUUUUAUUUCAUUAAUUAGUGUAUUUUUUGAUCCUCAUUUUGUGAUUGACAGAUUAAAUUACCUCAGGGAUAACAGCGUAAUUUUCUUGGAGAGUUCUUAUCGAUAAGGGAGUUUGCGACCUCGAUGUUGGAUUAAAGUUAUCUUUUGGCGCAGAAGCUAAAAUGUUGAGUCUGUUCGACUUUUAAUUCUUUACAUGAUCUGAGUUCAGACCGGCGUGAGCCAGGUUGGUUUCUAUCUGCAAUUAUUAUAUUAUAUUUUAGUACGAGAGGACCAUAUAUAAGUAAUAUUUAUUUUUAUUUGAUUACUAUUA
Molecule: ribosomal RNA, 1232 nt
Filed under: Anthocoris kerzhneri
Lineage: Eukaryota; Metazoa; Arthropoda; Insecta; Hemiptera; Anthocoridae
Description: 16S ribosomal RNA
Rfam family: Bacterial large subunit ribosomal RNA (bases 795-1163)
Source: RNAcentral